Molecule: ribosomal RNA, 433 nt
Filed under: uncultured bacterium
Lineage: Bacteria
Description: partial 16S ribosomal RNA
Rfam family: Bacterial small subunit ribosomal RNA
Source: RNAcentral
GACGAACGCUGGCGGCAUGCCUAACACAUGCAAGUCGAACGAGACCUUCGGGUCUAGUGGCGCACGGGUGCGUAACGCGUGGGAACCUUCCCUUAGGUUCGGAAUAACUCCCCGAAAGGGGUGCUAAUACCGGACCAUAUCUUCUGCCCAAAGAUUUAUCGCAUUUGGAUGGACCAGCGUUGGAUUAGCUAGUUGGUAGGGUAAAAGCCUACCAAGGCGACGAUCCAUAGCUGGUCUGAGAGGAUGGGCAGCCACACUGGGACUGAGACACGGCCCAGAAUCCUACGGGAGGCAGCAGUGGGGAAUAGUGGACCAUGGGCGAAAGCCUGAUCCAGCUAUGCCGGGUGAGUGAUGAAGGCCUUAGGGUUGUAAAGCUCUUGUACCCGGGAUGAUAAUGACAGUACCGGGAGAAUAAGCCCCGGCUAACUCCGUG